RNAcentral lists this ribosomal RNA (330 nucleotides) under uncultured soil bacterium. Its description in RNAcentral is "bacterial SSU rRNA". It matches the Rfam family "Bacterial small subunit ribosomal RNA", at positions 26 to 355 of the family's 1533-position model. The record is from RNAcentral.
AGAUUGAACGCUGGCGGCAGGCCUAACACAUGCAAGUCGAGCGGUAGAGAGGUGCUUGCACCUCUUGAGAGCGGCGGACGGGUGAGUAAUGCCUAGGAAUCUGCCUAGUGGUGGGGGAUAACGUUCGGAAACGGACGCUAAUACCGCAUACGUCCUACGGGAGAAAGCGGGGGACCUUCGGGCCUCGCGCCAUUAGAUGAGCCUAGGUCGGAUUAGCUUAGUUGGUGAGGUAAUGGCUCACCAAGGCGACGAUCCGUAACUGGUCUGAGAGGAUGAUCAGUCACACUGGAACUGAGACACGGUCCAGACCUCCGUACGGGGAGCAGCAGG